Molecule: non-coding RNA, 283 nt
Organism: Otolemur garnettii (small-eared galago)
Lineage: Eukaryota; Metazoa; Chordata; Mammalia; Primates; Galagidae
Source: Rfam
GAAUGUGGCAGUAAUCUGGUUAUGGCAUCUCUCUCUCCUUUACCGCUAAUAGUUAAUUCUAGCUGAUCUGAUUAGCUGAACAGAUAUCCCCUUCAUUUCUUAUGUUUCAUGGACUUUGUCACUGAAAACAUAUAUUCAGUGGAAGGACAUAACUUUCCUAUCAGAGAACAAUUCUUUGGUUAAGAAUGUGUAACAGCUCUCCUUUGCUAGACAUUCAAAUAUGCUCCAAAAGUUUACAGAACAUUGUCUCAAAGAGAUAAACAUACCUAAUCAAGCUCUCUCU